RNAcentral lists this transfer RNA (72 nucleotides) under Urocitellus parryii (Arctic ground squirrel). RNAcentral's name for it is "Spermophilus parryii (Arctic ground squirrel) tRNA". It matches the Rfam family "tRNA". Rfam says of the family: Transfer RNA (tRNA) molecules are approximately 80 nucleotides in length. Their secondary structure includes four short double-helical elements and three loops (D, anti-codon, and T loops). RNAcentral also lists the same sequence under 1 other name. Lineage: Eukaryota; Metazoa; Chordata; Mammalia; Rodentia; Sciuridae. The record is from Rfam by way of RNAcentral.
GGAGCUGUGGCUCAGUGGCAGAGCACUUGCCUAGCAUGUUUGAGGCCCUGGGUUCGAUUCUCAGCACCUCAU